CAAAGGUCGGGGCUCGGUGCAGGCCACUGGGGGAAACAGUUCUGUAUGGACCUGGCAUAUCGUCUCAAAUAUAAUGCUAUAUAUCAUGAGAAUAGCUCCAGACUAAAGACGUCGCGCUGACAGAACCUUCUGGGUUUUUUAAAUAUCGCAGUUCAGCCGAUCACAAACAGGCUCCUGGGACAAAGGAAAGAAGGCAUGCAUAAAGGAAGAUAUGGUUGUAAAUAAACUGUGCAGCGGGAUGCAGAAGGUCGUGGCAGAGCGACGUCUGCACGAAAACUUCCAGUGAUUCGCAGUGCAGGUCCAAAGCAGACAUAACAGGAGGAUGAGAGAACACAGAGGCGGCUCUGUUACCUCCAUCCAGACGACAGGAUUGCACAGUGGCACUUGUGAGCUAAUGGCAGUGACCUGAUACAAGCAAGAGGGAGAAGUCACCACCAGCUGCUCACUCAAUGCUCCUCUGUGGGACGUCUGGCCUCUUCUACUGGGACCUGAUCUUUACUACAACCCACCCUGUCUGUGGAAACAGUGAAAGAUUCAAGGUUUUUCAACAAUUUUCCAUAAAUCAUGUAUAAUGGGGGCAAUUUUCUACCCUGUCAGGCAGCUGUUGGCUCCCAUUUAUAUACAAUACAUGUAACAUAUCAAGGCUUUAUGUUCUUUGGCACAGCUUAACAACUGUGACUUUCAUACUGCACAGAACAACGCAUAACAUCCAACACUGGAGGUGAAAUCUCUUACGUGGUUUGUAGUCUCUGCGGUCUUCUGCAGGUCAGAGGGAUUAAAGACUCUGAACCACCAACAAAUAAGAAUAUCAGUGUCUGUAUAUUAGUGCUGAGGGUGGAAACCUACCCCAGGUGUUAUUUUACCAAGUGCAUGUUAGGAAAGGCUCCAACGUCCUGUGACUAUGAAUAGAAAUAAUAAGGAAGAAAUAAUAAAUGUUUUACACCAAUGAAGAAUAAAGAAAAGAAUCUUUU
This is a long non-coding RNA of Cottoperca gobio, 971 nucleotides long. RefSeq lists it as uncharacterized. The record is from RefSeq and is a predicted model, not a curated record. NCBI's taxonomy places the organism in Eukaryota, Metazoa, Chordata, Actinopteri, Perciformes, Bovichtidae. The transcript is spliced from 2 exons.